This 294-nucleotide ribosomal RNA is filed under the name Escherichia coli. RNAcentral's name for it is "partial 23S ribosomal RNA". It matches the Rfam family "Bacterial large subunit ribosomal RNA", at positions 2655 to 2925 of the family's 2925-position model. Lineage: Bacteria; Pseudomonadati; Pseudomonadota; Gammaproteobacteria; Enterobacterales; Enterobacteriaceae. The record is from RNAcentral.
UGGAGAACUGAGGGGGGCUGCUCCUAGUACGAGAGGACCGGAGUGGACGCAUCACUGGUGUUCGGGUUGUCAUGCCAAUGGCACUGCCCGGUAGCUAAAUGCGGAAGAGAUAAGUGCUGAAAGCAUCUAAGCACGAAACUUGCCCCGAGAUGAGUUCUCCCUGACUCCUUGAGAGUCCUGAAGGAACGUUGAAGACGACGACGUUGAUAGGCCGGGUGUGUAAGCGCAGCGAUGCGUUGAGCUAACCGGUACUAAUGAACCGUGAGGCUUAACCUUACAACGCCGAAGGUGUUU